Molecule: ribosomal RNA, 478 nt
Filed under: Streptococcus sanguinis
Lineage: Bacteria; Bacillati; Bacillota; Bacilli; Lactobacillales; Streptococcaceae
Description: bacterial SSU rRNA
Rfam family: Bacterial small subunit ribosomal RNA
Source: RNAcentral
GACGAACGCUGGCGGCGUGCCUAAUACAUGCAAGUAGAACGCUGAAGAGAGGAGCUUGCUCUUCUUGGAUGAGUUGCGAACGGGUGAGUAACGCGUAGGUAACCUGCCUGGUAGCGGGGGAUAACUAUUGGAAACGAUAGCUAAUACCGCAUAAAAUUGAUUAUUGCAUGAUAAUUAAUUGAAAGAUGCAACUGCAUCACUACCAGAUGGACCUGCGUUGUAUUAGCUAGUUGGUGAGGUAACGGCUCACCAAGGCGACGAUACAUAGCCGACCUGAGAGGGUGAUCGGCCACACUGGGACUGAGACACGGCCCAGACUCCUACGGGAGGCAGCAGUAGAGAAUCUUCGGCAAUGGGGGCAACCCUGACCGAGCAACGCCGCGUGAGUGAAGAAGGUUUUCGGAUCGUAAAGCUCUGUUGUAAGAGAAGAACGAGUGUGAGAGUGGAAAGUUCACACUGUGACGUAUCUACCAGAAAG